AGACACCUGAAGUACAAGAAAGCACAUUUUAAAAUGUAUUGCACAUGUCAGGUUUUCCAACAGGUAAGCUGGAAUGUGGAUCAAUUACAAAAAAAAAAAAAAAAAAAAAAAAAGGUGUCUAGGAAACUGUGAGUGAACACAUAUUUGAAACUACAUUGAGUUCUGUUCACAAAAGGAAGACUUAAUAUUUCUUUUAUGUAUUCCUCUUUGGCAAGCAUUAAGAUAAUCAACCAACUGCUAAGCAAUCUUAAUCUUCAGUUUACUGAGGAUCUGUGUUUUUUCCAUUCUGCCUUUUGGACAGUUUCUAAGCAUAAAUAAGAAGUGACUAUCCAGAUAAGAUAUACCAAGUUGCAUGAAAGAAACUUGCAAAUCAAUGUAUUUUUUGUUGUUUAUUUAUCUACUGUGAAGCAUCUGCUCUGCAGCAUGUUUCCUUGCUCAAAAUUAAGAGCUCUUCCAGAAGUGUGAUCCAUUUAUCAUUGCUAAUGUAGAGGUUUUGACAUGGAAGUUAUUAGAAGCAAUUACAGCAUUUGGGGUUGUUCUGCGCAGUGUGGGCUGUAAAAUUUCCCAUCACUUCUAGAGUAAAUCUGCUCAAUUGUGACAAAAUGACAACAGUUAUUGCAUAAAGGUUCACUGCCUCAAUUAGGGAUUCCAAGAAGUGAAGGCUGCCCACUAUCCCAUGAAAUCAUUCCUGCAGUGGAUUAUGUUCAAUGCUGUGUGCAUAGCGUCAGUCAGAUAUGAGCACCAGGCACGUGUCUGCCAGCACAGAUCCACCUGGGAGGAAGCUAUCACAGACAGAAUAGGUAUCAUAGAAUCAUAGAAAACCCUGACUUGGAAGGACCCACACGGAUCAUUGAAGUCCAGCUACUGAAUUUAAAGUGGAUUUGGAGUGGCACUGUUUUCCCCGGAAGACAGAUACUGCUCUAGAGCUCCCCUUUAUGAAACCAUGCCUCGAGGGUGGCCUGGAACCACAGCACUGGGAUAUGGUACACACCCUGAGCCUGCCUGUUCAUGAGAUUCCAGAGGGGAUGAACACCCCCAGCUCUCUGCAGAGUGGCUGUAAGGAAUUCUUCCAUGUUCCCCCUUAACUCCUUUCCACGUUGAUUCUGGCCCUGAGAUAGAGAAGCUCCAGGUGGUAUUUGCUUAUUCAGAUUAGCAGAUGAUAUGCAGACAAAACAUGCCGCAGUAAUAGGAUUUAUCUACAAGAGCCUUUGGAAGGAGCUCAUUAAAAAAAGAACAAAUAUUGCUUAAUAUUAAACAGCUUCCAUGUUUUUCUCCAACAUAGAUAUUUGAGUGGGCAUGGGACCAGUUCUGCUGUAUCUCAGUUGUGAAUGGAGGGGGAUGAGGACUUUGACCAGAUAGGAUUUAGGCCUCUCAUUCAAUCCAAAUCCAUCAUUUCUGCUGAGCUCAAGAAAAUGUGAAUCUCCCUAUAUAGCUUCUCUGUCUUCCUGCCAAUGUUUUAGUGACCUGCUGCUGUAGACCAGUGAGCUCAGACACCUGAAGAGGGAAAAAAGGAAGGAGUAAAUACAAAGCUGGAG
Taeniopygia guttata (zebra finch) is the source of this 1535-nucleotide long non-coding RNA. RefSeq lists it as uncharacterized. The record is from RefSeq and is a predicted model, not a curated record. Lineage: Eukaryota; Metazoa; Chordata; Aves; Passeriformes; Estrildidae.